UUUUUAUUAUAAGUAAGCCCCAGGCAAUAUUUGUGAUAUGCUUAUACUAAGA
RNAcentral lists this microRNA precursor (52 nucleotides) under Marmota monax (woodchuck). Lineage: Eukaryota; Metazoa; Chordata; Mammalia; Rodentia; Sciuridae. The record is from RNAcentral.